AGUUGUGCGUCUCCAACUGGUCUCCUAGUAACUUUUUAUAGACAUCGCAGUCUAGUGUAGGUUUCGUCCUAUGGAGUACCCUCCUAUAUUCAGUAGAUAGGCCACUGUG
This 109-nucleotide non-coding RNA is filed under the name unclassified sequences. The record is from Rfam.